AGUGAACGUUGGCGGCGUGGAUUAGGCAUGCAAGUCGAGCGAGAACCGUAGCAAUACGGGGACAGCGGCGAAAGGGACAGUAAUGUGUAGGUACCUACCCCCGGGUUCGGGAUAGCUGCGGGAAACUGCAGGUAAUACCGAAUAAUGUCUCCGGACCAAAGGUGUGAUUCCACCUGGGGAGGGGCCUGCAUCCUAUUAGCUUGUUGGUGGGGUAACGGCCUACCAAGGCGACGAUGGGUAGCGGGUGUGAGAGCAUGACCCGCGUCAUUGGGACUGAGACACUGCCCAGACACCUACGGGUGGCUGCAGUCGAGAAUCUUCGGCAAUGGGCGCAAGCCUGACCGAGCGACGCCGCGCGCGGGAUGAAGGCCUUCGGGUUGUAAACCGCUGUCGUAGAGGAGGAAAUGCAGGGGGGUUCUCCCCUUUGCUCGACCUAUUCUGGGAGGAAGUACGGGCUAAGUUCGUGCCAGCAGCCGCAGUAA
This 482-nucleotide ribosomal RNA is filed under the name uncultured bacterium. RNAcentral's name for it is "partial 16S ribosomal RNA". It matches the Rfam family "Bacterial small subunit ribosomal RNA", at positions 28 to 523 of the family's 1533-position model. The record is from RNAcentral.